Molecule: ribosomal RNA, 441 nt
Filed under: uncultured bacterium
Lineage: Bacteria
Description: partial 16S ribosomal RNA
Rfam family: Bacterial small subunit ribosomal RNA
Source: RNAcentral
CCUACGGGUGGCAGCAGUGGGGAAUAUUGCACAAUGGGGGAAACCCUGAUGCAGCGACGCCGCGUGAGUGAAGGAGUUCUUCGGCACGUAAAGCUCUAUCAGCAGGGAAGAACGAAGACGGUACCUGACUACGAAGCCCCGGCUAACUACGGGCCAGCAGCCGCGGUAAUACGUAGGGGGCAAGCGUUAGACGGAGUGACUGGGAGUAAAGGGAGCGUAGACGGCGCGGCAAGCCCGGGGUGAAAGCCCGGGGCUUAACGCCGGAACUGCCUUUGAAACUGCCAAGCUAGAGUGCGGGAGAGGAAAGUGGAAUUCCUGGUGUAGCGGUGAAAUGCGUAGAUAUCAGGAGGAACACCAGUGGCGAAGGCGACUUGCUGGAACGUAACUGACGUUGAGGAUCGAAAGCGUGGGGAGCAAACAGGAUUAGAUACCCCUGUAGUC